Coffea arabica (coffee) is the source of this 323-nucleotide non-coding RNA. NCBI's taxonomy places the organism in Eukaryota, Viridiplantae, Streptophyta, Magnoliopsida, Gentianales, Rubiaceae. The record is from RefSeq and is a predicted model, not a curated record.
ACUAUCAGUCAGGGUCAAGAACUCUUGAAGACCGAUCCGUAUUGCUGUUAUCCUCCAGACAAAAUUCCAUCUUCGUGAGACCCAUAGUUCUCCCCUGAAUUUCUGGCAUUUGAUUGUACUUGAAACAGGUUGUAAUCUCAAUUGGGGUCCAAAUUUUUUUUCUUCUGACAGAGUUGAUGGACGAUGGGCUCAAGAAUGCAAAGCGACUGGGAGGAAAAUUGGCCACCCGUGAAAGACAACUGCUGAGGGGAAAAACAUGUUCAAGAAAUGGACUAUGGAGAGGACACUCUACCUCUUAUUGAAGUAUUUCCUAAACUUCCAGU